This is a long non-coding RNA of Heterocephalus glaber (naked mole-rat), 455 nucleotides long. RefSeq lists it as uncharacterized. Lineage: Eukaryota; Metazoa; Chordata; Mammalia; Rodentia; Bathyergidae. The record is from RefSeq and is a predicted model, not a curated record.
GCGGGAACUUGAGCAGUACUGGCAGCUCGCUGACUGGUGAAAAGCAGUGGUCGGUUCCGCCCUGAGGGUCUCCACAAGGCUGCAGAGAUCGGGGCUUCUCCUUUGCUCCCCAUCCUCGAGCAGACGCCAGCUUGGUUAAUGACGGGUUUACUUGGCCUUUUCAUAAUUAUCAUCCACCGGAAGUGCUGCUGCAGCUGCUGAGGACGCUCGGGGCAGUGCCGCUGCCCUGCAGCCCUGUAGACCUGAGCAGGACCUGCGCCCUCCGGGGGCCUGGCAGGAGGAUGAGGCAGUCUGAGUUCAGAACCGCCGCCCUGCACGUGGGGAGGGUGCUGCACAGGGUCCUCACCCUCAAAGCUUUGUUUUCUCAGCUGUGAUAAGACUUAGAAACCAGUGCCAUCAUCGGGGUUGCUGUGAGAAAAAGGAAUUCAUAUAAAAAUGGUAGGAACUGUGCUUGA